CCUAAUCAACCGUGGAGGCGGUCCGGCGGGAUAAAAUUGGUCCGGGUCCGCGGGUCGUGGUCGCGUGCGGCGCCUAAGUGGAGCCGACAAGCAGAGGUGUAAUAAGAGAGGCCGCCGCCGCUGAGCUGAGAGCCGCUCCCCGCCUCUACAGGAUGGAUGAGGGCGUGGACGUGAGGCCGACCCGCCACCUGGUCCGGUAGGAGCGGCUCCUCCUCGCCGACCAGUACUAGGCGAAGCCGGUGCUGACCCUGCUCUGCACGUACGUCUACCUGCUCCACGACAGUCCCCACCGACUCUGGUAUUUCUUGAAACGCCACUAGAUGGAGCAGCUGUAGUGCCUCCAAGGACUGAAGUUGUGGUACAUGCUCGACAUACUAGGCAGUUGCCACUACAAGAAGAAGGCGUUGUUCGUGUAGUACUAACUAGAGCCCUGCCCUUUGUUGUUGUUCUAGUUGACCCGUUACUUUCUGUUCGUUCUCAAACAACUGUAACACCUCUGACAGAUGUCUCCUCGAGCAUUCCCCGCACCAGACCACUAACGAGGGUUCCUAAUGAGGUGUUUUAUGGCAAUGACUCCAACUUGAAAGUUAAAAUAGUCCGAAACCAAGAUUUAGUUAGAUUACUUACUCCACGACAGUCCCCACCGACUCUGGUAUUUUUGAAACGCCACUAGAUGGAGCAGCUGUAGUGCCUCCAAGGACUGAAGUUGUGGUACAUGCUCGACAUACUGGGCAGCUGCCACUACAAGAAGAAGGCGUUGUUCGUGUAGUACUAACUAGAACCCUGUCCUUUGUUGUUCUAAACUGACCCGUCACUUUCUUUGACAGAUGUCUCCUCGAGCAUUUCCGGCGGGUUCCUAAUGAGGUGGUUUAUGACAAUGACUCCAUAGAAACGGACCGUCACACAUCAGGCGAGACAAGAAGCUUUACGGUCAUGAAUGCGACAUCGGGAACUACAUUACAGCCAGUUGAGACUUUCACAGCGCAUUGAUACAUAGACAUAGAACUUAUAGCAGUAAAGUACUUGAACAUCGGGAACCUUUGUCCCGGACAACGGAUAAACAUACCGAC
This 1070-nucleotide ribosomal RNA is filed under the name Triticum aestivum (bread wheat). Its description in RNAcentral is "partial small subunit ribosomal RNA". The record is from RNAcentral. Lineage: Eukaryota; Viridiplantae; Streptophyta; Magnoliopsida; Poales; Poaceae.